UUAAAGACCAAAUUGUAAAUUCCUCUUAUUGAUAUUGAAGCAAAAUUAAAAAGAUUGUUCCAUUAAAGGAUAUAAACUAUCAAUAUGACUAAGCAAUAAAUGGUGGCUGUCAAGACUUGGAUAUUUCCAUCGGACUUGGGGAGAAAGGAUUGCGUCUAAAUCCAACAGAAUUCAAAGAAAAGGUUUAACUCUCGAGGCUAGUUGCCAUUCAAACAGGAUUUGUCUGCAACUCUACACUAGAGAGGUUGAAGAUUUUCCCAUUGAGUCCGCUGCAUGAGUGGUCAAGGAGGUUCAUCAGUUUCAUGUUUUAAUAGAGCAGGUCGUCUCAAGUAACCUUCCUAUACAUAUCAAACAUUAAAAAGCUAAUUUCAUGAUGUGAAAUCUUCAGUAAUUUUGCUGUCUGAUGGAGCAUGGCUUCACCAUAUUAGGAUUGGAGGAAACAAGUUCACUCUCAUGCGUCAUUAAAUUACUUUCAACUUUAUUUUUGAUGAGAAUGGCUGCAUAUUAAUCCUCCAAAUUAGAAUCUGCAAGCACAAAGCCUUUCUUGAUUUCUUCGCUUGGGUCGAAAUUUACUGAUGCUCUGAUCAGAAGAAAAGAUGAGAGGAUGUGAUCUGUAGAACACCAAAUAUUAAAAACAAUUAUAUUUUAUAUAUCAUCACCAAGUAUAUAUGCAAUUAUUGUUAAAUUUUAUAUAUGCAACCUUAAAAAGCAUAUGGAAUGAAAAAUCAGAAAAUCCAAUUAAGGAUGAAAGAAAAAUAAUUUCUCACAAGCUGAAAGAGUAUUGGAGAAAAUAUGAGUUAUGAAGUCACCAGGAGCAAACUAAACCUUCUUGAUCUGUCAACUAAUUUCUCACAAGCUGAAAGUGCACUAGAGAUACUUCGUUUCUUUCUGGAGAAGCUGCAAUACAAUCAUGUUAAUGAAAAGAAGAAAAACAAAAUGCAUUUCUUUCUGAAUCAUAAUCCUGGAAGCACAAGAAAUCAGGUUCUAGUUGUUAUAACACAUUGCCUCUCACUCAAAUCAUGGGAAUGAAUUCUCUUGAAUUGAACUACUGGUGGAUUCUGCUGAACAGUUGGGCUUCUCAUCUAAAUAAAACUUCAAAACAGCUUUGAAAUUCACAAUGCUUAGAGAAUGUGAUUCACAUAAUAUACCAGACAUGCAUAACUCCAUCCUUUUUAACAAACUUGGCAACCCAUGUAGCACGAUAUGAUACCAAUCCCCAUACCCUUUCAAGCUACAUCAAGGAACAAACAAUACUUGUGUUUGUCAUUUGCCACUAGGCAUUUUAAGAACAUGUUCUUGGGAUAACCAAAGACGAAAAAAUGACUCUGGUUUACAGUCCGUAAGCUAAAAAAAGAAAUCUCGACCCAUUGCUCUUACUAAUUUAUGUUUCUAGAACUGAAUUUACCUUUAACAAGCCAAGAAGUCAUAAGUGUUUGCUCAACUACAGUUCAGGAUAAGGCAUAUCAUUCUAGAAACUUACCCAAGUAACAGAAGCACCGAGAAGUGCUAAUACUAAAGAAAGUAUUUGUUUAAGAAAGUUAAUAAACACAGACUAAUUAAUUUUUGACGAAAGAUUUCAAUCAAAAGAAUUCAUUAUUGUCUACCACCUAUAAUAACUUUCCCUUUAAGCUUUCUUGGUCACACAAACCUGUGUGCACUGACAAAUUCUACUUGCUUUCACUAUAAAAAGAUAAAAACAAACAUAGAUUCAUGAACACCUGCCCCUGUUCAAUACACAGACCAAAUAGCAAACUUAUAAUGGUGAUUAAAACAAGUGAAAUUGGGACUUCUGUAGAUAAUCCAACUAAUGGUAAUAACUGGAGUGAUCUCUAGAACUGAGAUACUAAGUUAGUCUGAAGCCAAUUGUACCAAAAUAACACAGUUUAGAAGAAUGAUGCAUAACUGAAGUCUUUGAAACUUCAUACCUAAUUAACGCAACACAUAACACAAUUUAUAGUAAGAUUUGUUGCAGAUUAAGAACUCACAACUAGCAAUUGUGAAGGACUUGUGACUGAACUAUUUGAUAGUUACCAAGCAGCAUAAUUAACAUGAACAUAAAUGAUUAUCAACGUUCUAGCAGAAAUGUGCUAGAGCUGUAAGCCUAAUAGAAGCCCAAAAUCAAUCAAUCUGUAAAGUCAUAUUUAAAAUGGAAAAUCCACGCAAUUCGUUAUUGAUUUCAGUUCUAUCUAAGACAAUUUUCAGCUUAAUCCGUCUAAGGACGAUGAAAAUAACAACAAAUAGAACAUAAUCUACCACAAAAAAAAACGUUUCAUUCAGUGAGCAAUAACAAUACUAUCGCUGUUCAACAAAUUGAUGAUUGGAUCUGGCGAAUCCGAUACUGGACUCGACGGCCUCGAGCACAGAAACAACACGGACUUAGCAGCCACGAGCUUCUUCCUUUGAGGACAACUAGGACCGUAGAUCCUGCUCAAGAAGCAAGGCAAACCGUCCAUGUUGUUGACCUGGGGCUGUUCGGAAUUAGAUGAGAGAGAUGAAGGAAAAGAGGCUCGGUGGAGAGGGAUCAACCGGAGCGAGUUGACUCGGUGGGAUCUGGCGCUGAUUCGAGAGUCUCUGAGUUGAGCUAACGCGCCCGGCUUAAGAAACUUUAAAUAGGGCUCGGUCCUGGGAAGGGAGCGAGUUCUUCGCUUCAUGGUUAGAUAGACAGAGUGGGGAGGGGGUGAGAUUAGGGUUAGAGAAGGAGAGAGAUUUUGCGAUGUUUUAAAUGAGUGAGGUUAGAGUUAGAGGCGGGAAAUGAAGGGAGGGAAG
This 2766-nucleotide unclassified non-coding RNA is filed under the name Hevea brasiliensis (rubber tree). The record is from RNAcentral. Lineage: Eukaryota; Viridiplantae; Streptophyta; Magnoliopsida; Malpighiales; Euphorbiaceae.